Molecule: long non-coding RNA, 1395 nt
Filed under: Homo sapiens (human)
Lineage: Eukaryota; Metazoa; Chordata; Mammalia; Primates; Hominidae
Description: HSALNT0185524
Source: RNAcentral
AGUCACCAUGCCCAGCCCUCAUUUCUAUUUUCUACAUGCCUUUUUUUUUUCUUUGCUUUCAUUGUUCAGCUUCAUGCCAUGAUCUUAUUCUGACCAUGAUGAAAUUAGUAGAAUAGAUCUUCACUUACGUUCUCUGCUCCCAGUGACUAAUGUAGAGACAAGAGUUUUUAUAUUAUUUGAAUUUUUGUUAUGAAAAAAUGUAAACAUUAAGUAAUAUAGACAUAAUAACUUAAUGAACUACCAUGUGCCCAUCACCCAGCUUCAACUCACUCCCCAAUCAAGGUGAGUGUGUAUCUCCCAUGAGUGAGUAAACUACCACGUGCCCAUCACCCAGCUUCAACAAGCAUCGACUCACUCUCCAAUCAAGGUGAAAUAUCAGACAUCAUGUGAUUUUAUCGGUUAAAUUUUGUGAAAGGUUUAAAGUCUGUGCACUAUUUGAUCUCUACCAGUGCUGCCUGGAUUUAUCGUUAUUCUGGACAUGACAACACAGCGACCAUCAUAGACUGGCAGAGAGUGAAGGACUGUUUCUUAUGCAGAGGCUUCCACUGCAUGCCAGACUUGUGGCCCCUGCCUAAGAUGAUCCUAUUGUUUUCUGGAGGAGGAGACCACAUUGCACAGGGUAUUGCCCCUACUCACUUUUGGCAGAUUAACUACAAUGGAUAUUUGACCCUCUCUUGUAGCUGUCCGUUGAGCCUCACUCUGUGUGCGCUUUCCUAGGUGAUAGUAUUACUAUUCCAGUCUUAUCAGCCAACUCAAGCCAUUCCAUUUGACCUGUGAAAAUAAUCCAUGUCAGGUUUUCAGGUUUCCAAGCCAUUUACAGUCUGAAAAUGGUGCCUGUCUUAUCAAAAAAGCCACUUAUAAGGCUAAUAUUUAAAGUAUUUGGUGGACUUCCAUGCUCCCUACCAUCUGUAGGCAUCUGGUAUUGUUAAGCUUUGGUAUGGCCUCCUCAAAAUUACACAAAAGCAAUUUCUGACUCUACCUUCCUCAUCUCUUCUUGGUCCACAUAUUAUGAAUUCAAGAACAGUCCCUGAACUAGUGCUGUCUUGAUUCCUAUUUAUUUUCUGACCUAUUGCUUAACUUGUGUAUGCUAUAUAAGCUGUGUUUAAUGGUAACCAUUGAUUUAAAAACACUUACUGCUAUUUGCAAAGUAAGUCCUUAGUUUUAAAUUAUAUCCUUCCGAAAACUGCCACUUAAGUAAAGUUAUUUGCUACUGAUUGCUAAGAAAAUGUUACUUCUUUUAACAUGUAAUGCAAAUCAUGGCUGUUUUUGUUUUGUUUUGUUUUGUUUUUUCCUGUAUGAACAACUUUCUUCCCUGGGAGAAUUAGAUAUAGCAAAUUUGCACAGAGGCAUACUCUUUCUUAAAGGGAAUGUUAAAUAUGAUAAAUGGCUUCUCAG